Molecule: small nucleolar RNA, 74 nt
Organism: Bufo bufo (common toad)
Lineage: Eukaryota; Metazoa; Chordata; Amphibia; Anura; Bufonidae
Product: small nucleolar RNA SNORD19
Exons: 1
Source: RefSeq, a predicted model, not a curated record
GAGAUAUGAGGACAAAUCCUAACAGUCUGAUGUUUCUGAUGACCGUCAGAUCCAACUCUGAUCUCUAUCUUAUU